This 465-nucleotide ribosomal RNA is filed under the name uncultured bacterium. RNAcentral's name for it is "partial 16S ribosomal RNA". It matches the Rfam family "Bacterial small subunit ribosomal RNA", at positions 339 to 795 of the family's 1533-position model. The record is from RNAcentral.
CUACGGGCGGCUGCAGUGGGGAAUAUUGGACAAUGGGGGAAACCCUGAUCCAGCAAUGCCGCGUGUGUGAAGAAGGCCUGCGGGUUGUAAAGCACUUUCGGUUGGGAGGACUGCUUCUAGCACUAAUAUUGUUGGAAGUUGACGUUACCUUCAGAAGAAGCACCGGCUAACUCCGUGCCAGCAGCCGCGGUAAUACGGAGGGUGCAGGCGUUAAUCGGAAUUACUGGACGUAAAGCGCGCGUAGGCGGCUAGAUCAGUCGGGUGUGAAAGCCCCGGGCUUAACCUGGGAACCGCAUCCGAUACUGUCUAGCUUGAGUACAGGAGAGGAGAGUGGAAUUCCACAUGUAGCGGUGAAAUGCGUAGAUAUGUGGAGGAACACCAAUGGCGAAGGCAGCUCUCUGGCCUGAUACUGACGCUGAGGUGCGAAAGCGUGGGGAGCAAACAGGAUUAGAUACCCCAGUAGUC